RNAcentral lists this unclassified non-coding RNA (1264 nucleotides) under Hevea brasiliensis (rubber tree). The record is from RNAcentral. Lineage: Eukaryota; Viridiplantae; Streptophyta; Magnoliopsida; Malpighiales; Euphorbiaceae.
GAAAUUUUAAUAUUUUAUAAUUGGAUACAAUAUAGUUAAAAUAACAAUCAUCAAAACAAACAUGAAUAUUUAAACUAACAAUACGAUACAAUCGUUUCAGAUGUUCAGCAUGCAAAAAAAUUCUCAUAAAAUAUCAUGCUUAUUUGCACUCAUAAAUCUUAUAGUAAAUUAAUUUCUCAUUUGAUCAGUGCUUGUUGAUGAACUCUGCAAUGGCUUCAAAAAGCUUUUCAGUUGCAGAACCAGUAACAGGGUCCAUAUCAACAGCAAUUUUGUUCAGGUAAAAACUGUGUCCCACGCCAUUGUUAAUCAACAGUUCAACAUCUUUUUCCCCUGUUUUCAGUGAUUCGUAAAAUUCCAUUUCAGUGUCUUUUAUCAGAUCCUUCUCCGCUACACAGUACAAGUAAGGCGGCAAUUUCAGCUCCUCCACCGCCGGUGCCGCAUCACCCAUCGGACAAGUGAUCGGGUGAUCCUUAGUGCUACCAAUCGGUAAAGCCAGUUCCAUAAAUUUAUCCACCAUAUCUAAGGUUAGAAAGGGGGUUUGUUCCUGUUCUAGCUCCGAUUUGCUUCGCUGGGAUCGCAUGAAGCCUGGAUGGAUCGGGAUUGCGCCGGCGAGCUUCAUCGGAGAUAAGUCUUCUUCUCCGGCUCUGGCGGCAACUUGAUGGACGACGUUUCCGCCGGAGCUGUCUCCGAUGAGGAAUACGCGGUUGAAAUCGGCGUAUUCGUUGAGCCAGGGCUCGUGACCUUGUUCCCGGGAUACGUCACGGAGCCAGAGGAGGCCGGCGAAGCCGGCAUCACAAGCGGCAGGGAGGCGGUGCUCCGGCGCCAGAGGUAGGAAGACGGAAACAACAAUAGCGUUUGCCACACGCGCUAAGCGAGUGUAGACAGCAUAGUACAUGAACCAAUCAGCUUGGCUGAUACAAAAACCACCGCCGUGGAAGUGAAGAAUGACGGGAAGCUUAUCAACCGAACUAUCAUUACGUUCAGGUAAGUAAAUACGGAAACGACUACCGGAAUUCUCCCCGGCGACCACAUCUUUGACGGCAACGCCGUCAAUGAAGUCGUCAUGCGGUGGAACAGGCUCAGCCAUGAACUUGACUUCAGGUGGACCAGUCCAUGUCCGGUCUACUGAACCGUCGUCAAAAACUGUAAGCCAACCGGAAACUACAUCUUUAACUUGCUUAUCAUGAACCAUUUUAGGAAAUUUCUAAAAAGUAAAAUAAACACAAAUUAUGAAAAAUUUUAUUUUUUCUUGGGUAUACUAUAA